GAGUUUGAUCCUGGCUCAGGACGAACGCUGGCGGCGUGCUUAACACAUGCAAGUCGAACGGUAAGGCCCCUUCGGGGGUACACGAGUGGCGAACGGGUGAGUAACACGUGAGCAACCUACCCUCGACACUGGAAUAACAGUUGGAAACAGCUGCUAAUGCCGGAUAUGACCUUCGGUGGCAUCACCUGGAGGUGGAAAGUGCUUAGCGGUCAAGGAUGGGCUCGCGGCCUAUCAGCUAGUUGGUGAGGUAACGGCUCACCAAGGCUUCGACGGGUAGCCGGCCUGAGAGGGCGACCGGCCACACUGGGACUGAGAUACGGCCCAGACUCCUACGGGAGGCAGCAGUGGGGAAUAUUGCACAAUGGGCGCAAGCCUGAUGCAGCAACGCCGCGUGCGGGAUGACGGCCUUCGGGUUGUAAACCGCUUUCAGUUCCGACGAAGCGCAAGUGACGGUAGGAACAGAAGAAGGACCGGCCAACUACGUGCCAGCAGCCGCGGUGAUACGUAGGGUCCGAGCGUUGUCCGGAAUUAUUGGGCGUAAAGGGCUUGUAGGCGGUUUGUCACGUCGGAAGUGAAAACUCAGGGCUUAACCCUGAGCCUGCUUCCGAUACGGGCAAACUAGAGGAAUGCAGGGGAGAAUGGAAUUCCUGGUGGAGCGGUGGAAUGCGCAGAUAUCAGGAGGAACACCGGUGGCGAAGGCGGUUCUCUGGGCAUUUCCUGACGCUGAGAAGCGAAAGCGUGGGGAGCAAACAGGCUUAGAUACCCUGGUAGUCCACGCCGUAAACGGUGGGCACUAGGUGUGGGGAACAUUCCACGUUCUCCGUGCCGAAGCUAACGCAUUAAGUGCCCCGCCUGGGGAGUACGGCCGCAAGGCUAAAACUCAAAGGAAUUGACGGGGGCCCGCACAAGCGGCGGAGCAUGCGGAUUAAUUCGAUGCAACGCGAAGAACCUUACCUGGGUUUGACAUAUACCGGAAAGCUGCAGAGAUGUAGCCCCCGCAAGGUCGGUAUACAGAAUCGUCGAC
RNAcentral lists this ribosomal RNA (1024 nucleotides) under uncultured bacterium. RNAcentral describes it as "bacterial SSU rRNA". It matches the Rfam family "Bacterial small subunit ribosomal RNA", at positions 9 to 1053 of the family's 1533-position model. The record is from RNAcentral.